GACGAACGCUGGCGGCGUGCCUAAUACAUGCAAGUCGAACGCUGAAGCGAGGAGCUUGCUCUUCUUGGGUGAGUUGCGAACGGGUGAGUAACGCGUAGGUAACCUGCCUUGUAGCGGGGGAUAACUAUUGGAAACGAUAGCUAAUACCGCAUAACAAUGUAUGACACAUGUCAUUUAUUUGAAAGGGGCAAUUGCUCCACUACAAGAUGGACCUGCGUUGUAUUAGCUAGGAGGUGAGGUAAUGGCUCACCUAGGCGACGAUACAUAGCCGCCCUGAGAGGGUGGGUAGCCGGCCUGGGAGGGAGACACGGCCCAGAGGCACAGGGGAGGCAGCAGGAGGGCAUCGGGGGGAAGGGGUGGAAACCUGAGCGAGAAGGGCCGAGGGAGGGAAGAAGGUUUUCGGGUCGGAAAGGUCGGUUGUAAGGCAAGAAAGGGUGUGAGAGUGGAAAGUUCACAGUGUGACGGUAGCGGACCAGAAAGGGACGGCUAACUACGUG
RNAcentral lists this ribosomal RNA (497 nucleotides) under uncultured bacterium. RNAcentral describes it as "partial 16S ribosomal RNA". It matches the Rfam family "Bacterial small subunit ribosomal RNA", at positions 28 to 507 of the family's 1533-position model. The record is from RNAcentral.